AUUUGAAAGUUUGGAGAUCAAUUCUAGGUUAUCAGACUUGCAAAAGAAGGUAACUGAAGUAAGGGGUGAGAUGACUUCUGUGGCUGACGUGUGCGAUGUGGCGGAAGUUAAAGUUGAGAUUGCUGAAUUAAGGAACGAUGUGGCUCAGGUGGAGGAAUUGCAAAAUGAGGUUUAUCACCUGAGGAGCAAGAUGGCUGAAAUGAGAAGAGAGAUGGCCGAGACUGCUCAGGUAGGUGAAUUGCAAAAUGAGAUAUAUCAACUGAAGAGCAAGAUGGCUGAAAUGAGAAGAGAGAUGGCUGAGACUAGAAGGAUGUUUGCUGAGAUGAGGAGGUUUCGGGAUGAAAUGCACGUUCGCAAAAAGAGGCGCUAAUAUGGGUAUUAGAGCUCUCUGGCUUGUUGGGAGUCUAUUGACAGAAGAACUGCAGCGUCGCUGUGAGUGAAACAACAAGGCCAGCCAACGUGAACAUAUUAUGAAGAAAGUUAGGCUUUUGGUCGUAGUUAUUGAAACUCUAGAAAAAUAUAGGAACUUAUUGUUUAGCUUCAGUUUUAUUUUGAUGUAGGCAAUUAAUUAUUGGUUCUCAUUUUGGUGUUGAAGUAGAAAUUGUACUUCUCGGAUAUGGCUUGCUAUACUUUCUUUUCUUUUGUGUGUCUUUUAUGGGUCUUUUCUCUCUCUCUCUCUCUCUCGGGCAUAGUUUCUUUAUUUUGACAGCUCUAAUCGUACAUGUAAGAAUAAUAAUCCUUUUAAUGUUUGAAUAUGGGUUCAUGGUGUCUUUUGUUUCA
Long non-coding RNA from Asparagus officinalis (garden asparagus), 780 nucleotides. RefSeq lists it as uncharacterized. Lineage: Eukaryota; Viridiplantae; Streptophyta; Magnoliopsida; Asparagales; Asparagaceae. The record is from RefSeq and is a predicted model, not a curated record. The transcript is spliced from 2 exons.